GUCGCAGCAGUUGCGGUGGUACCGGGUCGCUGGCGAGGGAAGUAGCCUUGCAGCAGACAAAAGUCUGUUGGGUUGCGCUGCAAUUAUAUGAAAAUAACUAUACAGCAACGGCGGGGAGCACGCCAGCUAAUACCGGCACUCGUGGCCAAAAGCGGUCCGCCGAAAACGAAAGAUACGUAGGAUUCGAUUGGAGAUAUUGACCCCUUCGCGGAAAACACGGCGGCUGAAUACGUGAAGUUCUGUAGUUUUUGUAUGACUACGUAGGAAAACAACGGUUUGUUUGGUACCAUGAACACAGAAAGACCAGGUCUACAACCAUAAAGACCUGCACUGUACGAGCUCCGAUUUCAACAGCGAAAGGAACAGAGAAUCAGAAGAGGAUGCACUAUUGCGAGGACCAAUACGACAUGAAUUAUCACCGAUUGUGCACUUACGCGAUAGAUCUUCCUUGAACUCAGACCGAGUUGUUUGGUUCGUCGCUUAGCAUGAACACCGAUCGGCAAGAUUGAAGUCGACCGUGCCCUGACUAACUGACAUUAAAGAGGUGGCAAACGAAAAGCGCGUGAGGACAAAAUGUAGAUCUCGAAGCACAGCGAGUUCAAUGGCAGACAGUUCAUCCGCCACUCGCCACAGGUAUGAGAUAGGCCGGUCUGGCAUAGCUAGAAAGCAAAAAGAAAGUCCACUAACGUCACAGGCUUGUUGGCGAGCUACAGAUAACAAGCCAAAAUAGUGACUAUAACAAUAUCAAUAUGGUACCGAUAGAGUACACUUGCCAACUGAUCCAUAAAUUCAUCUACCUUGCUACUAUUAAAAUAUAUUAGUUGAACAAAAUGUAUCGGUAUAAACAAGUAAUCCUUCAAUGGCGCACGAAAACGACAUCUGCCAAUCGUUGCCAACUUGCUCGAAUCCAAGUUGUCAAAUGCCACCUGUCCGACGACAUAAAUAUCUGUCAAUAUAUCACAGUGAGUGAAUUUUAAAUGUUGGUGAGGUAAGAGGCACUAGAAAACUUUGAAUAUGGGCUCCAGAACAUGAUCUCAUUAUGCAUCAUUUCGACAAAGCGAGAUUGUCACCGUAAUUAUUUAUACCAUGACGAACGAGCGGCUACAUAAGCGUGUGCGCAGUAAUAAACUAAUAGUAACUUCAAAGUUAUCUGUCGUUCAUUUCAUAACCCAGCAAUAGAAUCUCGGCCAUUUGGAACUUGAAGCUUGUCCUCUGUUGCCCCGGCAUAACACACACAAGCACUAAAUGCAUAAGUAAAAUAUACGUGAGCUAAAAUUUGGUGUUCCUGCCAGGGCUCGAACCUGGGACCUUCCGCGUGUUAGGCGGAUGUGAUAACCGCUACACCACGGUAACAGCCGAUAUUUCUCCCCGGUGCGUCAGAUCAACCUUCGGAAAUAAAACGAUACGUCCCCUUCUAACAAUCAAGCCUAAACGGUUAGUGAAUCAAAGACGUUGGCGCAGCCUCAUCUUAUACGCAUAUACUUUUCAAAAAAGCUCUCAUUGAGGUACUUGUCAAGGCUCAUAUACAGCUCCAUUGUUCUUUGUUUUACUAGACUGAUAUUGCGUAGCAAAUCCCACCUAACCGUCACAAGAUGCGUUCAACACUGGCUAAUUCAAAACGAUAUAACAAUCAAGCUAAGUUUCCAGCAAUGACACGGUCACAGUAUAGCGAGCCUUUAAUUUGCUGAACAUCAACGGAACAGAUAAAGCAAAAACAUAUGCUUUCCAGGUCCUGUUGCAAUUCGAGGGCCCAAAUACACAACGAACAUCUGCUUUUUUGUUUUUGAAAGUUUUUGAAAGUGACGCAGAACUAGCUACUUUGCCACACUUAACAUUAACACUUACGGAAA
RNAcentral lists this transfer RNA (1850 nucleotides) under Varroa destructor (honeybee mite). RNAcentral's name for it is "uncharacterized LOC111243886, transcript variant X2". The record is from RNAcentral. Lineage: Eukaryota; Metazoa; Arthropoda; Arachnida; Mesostigmata; Varroidae.